CCUACGGGUGACAGCAGUGAGGAAUAUUGGUCAAUGGCCGGAAGGCUGAACCAGCCAUGCCGCGUGAAGGUCAGUGCCCUAUGGGCGUUAAACUUCUUUUGUGCGGGAGCAAUAAUGGUCACGUGUGGCCAGACGAGAGUACCGUACGAAUAAGCAUCGGCUAACUCCGUGCCAGCAGCCGCGGUAAUACUGGGGAUGCAAGCGUUAUCCGGAUUUAUUGGGGUUAAAGGGUGCGUAGGCUGUGAGGUAAGUCAGCGGUGAAAUGCCCCCGCUCAACGGGGUGAAGUGCCAUUGAUACUGCCUUGCUGGAAUGCGGAUGCCGUGGGAGGAAGGUGUGGUGUAGCGGUGAAAUGCAUAGAUAUCACACAGAACACCGAUUGCGAAGGCAUCUCACGAAUCCGCGAUUGACGCUGAUGCACGAAAGCGUGGGUAUCAAACAGGAUUAGAUACCCCUGUAGUC
This 460-nucleotide ribosomal RNA is filed under the name uncultured bacterium. Its description in RNAcentral is "partial 16S ribosomal RNA". It matches the Rfam family "Bacterial small subunit ribosomal RNA", at positions 338 to 795 of the family's 1533-position model. The record is from RNAcentral.